CCUACGGGUGGCAGCAGUAGGGAAUAUUGCUCAAUGGAGGAAACCCUGAAGCAGCAACGCCGCGUGGAGGAUGAAGGUUUUAGGAUUGUAAACUCCUUUUGUUAGGGGAGAUAAUGCCGAUAUCCCACUAAUAAGCACCGGCUAACUCCGUGCCAGCAGCCGCGGUACUACGGAGGCUGCAAGCGUUACUCGGAAUCACUGGGCGUAAAGAGUGCGCAGGCGGGCUUGUAAGUCAGAGGUGAAAUCCUGUAGCUUAACUACAGAACUGCAUUUGAAACUAUGAGUCUAGAGUGUGGGAGCGGUAGGUGGAAUUCUUGGUGUAGGGGUAAAAUCCGUAGAUAUCAAGAGGAAUACUCAUUGCGAAGGCGACCUACUGGAACAUUACUGACGCUCAUGCACGAAAGCGUGGGGAGCAAACAGGAUUAGAUACCCGAGUAGUC
This 440-nucleotide ribosomal RNA is filed under the name uncultured bacterium. RNAcentral's name for it is "partial 16S ribosomal RNA". It matches the Rfam family "Bacterial small subunit ribosomal RNA", at positions 338 to 795 of the family's 1533-position model. The record is from RNAcentral.